This 279-nucleotide ribosomal RNA is filed under the name uncultured bacterium. RNAcentral describes it as "partial 16S ribosomal RNA". It matches the Rfam family "Bacterial small subunit ribosomal RNA", at positions 506 to 784 of the family's 1533-position model. The record is from RNAcentral.
UGCCAGCCGCCGCGGUAAGACGGAGGGUGCAAACGUUGUUCGGAAUCAUUGGGCAUAAAGGGCACGCAGGCGGCCCAGUCAGUCAGUUGUGAAAGCCCACGGCUCAACCGUGGAACUGCAUCUGAUACUGCUGGGCUAGAGAAUGGUUGGGGUGAGUGGAACUCCUGGUGGAGCGGUGAAAUGCGUAGAUAUCAGGAGGAACACCAGUGGCGAAGGCGGCUCACUGGACCAUUACUGACGCUGAGGUGCGAAAGCUAGGGUAGCGAACGGGAUUAGAUA